RNAcentral lists this ribosomal RNA (492 nucleotides) under Triticum aestivum (bread wheat). Its description in RNAcentral is "partial small subunit ribosomal RNA". The record is from RNAcentral. Lineage: Eukaryota; Viridiplantae; Streptophyta; Magnoliopsida; Poales; Poaceae.
AUGGAGCUCGGCCUGCCCACUGCCUUCGUGCUCAUCCUCUACUGGAUGGGCGGCCUCGACCCGCGCCCGACUUCCUUCCUGCUCUCCCUCCUCGUCGUCCUCUACAGCGUGCUCGUCGCCCAGAGCCUCGGCCUCGCCGUGGGAGCCGUGUUCAUGGACGUCAAGCAGGGCACCACGCUCGCCUCCGUCAUCACCAUGGUCUUCCUCAUCGCCGGCGGCUACUACGUGCAGCACAUCCCGCCAUUCAUCGGAUGGCUCAAGUGGCUCAACUACAGCUUCUACUGCUACCGCCUCCUCCUCGGCAUCCAGUUCCGCGAUGGCGGCGGCCUCUACGACUGCGGCGGCGGCACGCUCUGCCCCGUUGCCGACUUCCCCGCCAUCAAGGCCGUCGGGCUCAACAACCACUGGGUGGACGUCUGCGUCAUGGCGCUCCUCCUCGUCGGCUACCGGGUCGUCGCCUACCUUGCCUUGGACCGCCUGCAGCCGAGGUGA